RNAcentral lists this ribosomal RNA (253 nucleotides) under uncultured bacterium. Its description in RNAcentral is "partial 16S ribosomal RNA". It matches the Rfam family "Bacterial small subunit ribosomal RNA", at positions 524 to 776 of the family's 1533-position model. The record is from RNAcentral.
UACGUAGGGGGCUAGCGUUGUCCGGAAUCAUUGGGCGUAAAGCGUGCGCAGGCGGUGAUGUAAGACAGAUGUGAAAUCCCCGGGCUCAACCUGGGAACUGCAUUUGUGACUGCAUCGCUGGAGUGCGGCAGAGGGGGAUGGAAUUCCGCGUGUAGCAGUGAAAUGCGUAGAUAUGCGGAGGAACACCGAUGGCGAAGGCAAUCCCCUGGGCCUGCACUGACGCUCAUGCACGAAAGCGUGGGGAGCAAACAGG